ACUUGAUGAAGAAGACGCGGCCGUCCCGGCACACGCCGUACGACCAGUGCUCAGCCAGGUAACACCGUGAGCAGGUUACUGCCGGAUCCCGGAACCGCUUCCUCAGGGAAAAGACAGUGAAACACACCUGCGGUUCCCAGAGGCUGAGGCUGGAGGAUGCCCGCAAGUUCUGUGCCAACCAGGGCUGCACAGUUCCAAGCUAGCCUGGGCUACAGUGUGAGACUCUGUCGCACAAUUAUUGUAAGCACCAACGAGCAUCAAGCACCAGAGACCUGGGGAAUGAAGCUCACCUGCACAGCUCCCAGCACAGGUGACCAGACCAGUGAUUCAGUGACCCAGCCAGCCUACCUGAGCCCACAGUGCAACAAAGAAGGACACAAGCAGGAGCGCAGCAUAACUGAGACCAAAACAAUCCCCAAAGGUAACUGGGAUCACACCAGGUCAGUACUCGCCAAAUAAGCCUGAUACAGGCUUGAAUCGGAAGUGCUAAUUGUACCUUCCAUGUCAGGAUAAGUUAUACGUUAAAUCUGAUGGAUGGUCGGAUUUGCCAUUCUUAAAUAAGCUAUCUCUGGGGCUUGUCAUUUGUUGCUUCCUG
Molecule: long non-coding RNA, 595 nt
Organism: Jaculus jaculus (lesser Egyptian jerboa)
Lineage: Eukaryota; Metazoa; Chordata; Mammalia; Rodentia; Dipodidae
Exons: 3
Source: RefSeq, a predicted model, not a curated record